RNAcentral lists this transfer RNA (91 nucleotides) under Lachnospiraceae bacterium. RNAcentral's name for it is "tRNA-Lys". It matches the Rfam family "tRNA". Rfam says of the family: Transfer RNA (tRNA) molecules are approximately 80 nucleotides in length. Their secondary structure includes four short double-helical elements and three loops (D, anti-codon, and T loops). Further hydrogen bonds mediate the characteristic L-shaped molecular structure. tRNAs have two regions of fundamental functional importance: the anti-codon, which is responsible for specific mRNA codon recognition, and the 3' end, to which the tRNAs corresponding amino acid is attached (by aminoacyl-tRNA synthetases). tRNAs cope with the degeneracy of the genetic code in two manners: having more than one tRNA (with a specific anti-codon) for a particular amino acid; and 'wobble' base-pairing, i.e. permitting non-standard base-pairing at the 3rd anti-codon position. Lineage: Bacteria; Bacillati; Bacillota; Clostridia; Lachnospirales; Lachnospiraceae. The record is from RNAcentral.
GUUCCAUUAGCUCAGUUGGAAGAGCACAAGGGAUAAAGGGAAUCCCUGACUUUUAAUCAAGGGGUCAUGGGUUCGAGUUCCAUAUGGAGCA